Mauremys reevesii (Reeves's turtle) is the source of this 181-nucleotide long non-coding RNA. RefSeq lists it as uncharacterized. The record is from RefSeq and is a predicted model, not a curated record. The transcript has 3 exons. Lineage: Eukaryota; Metazoa; Chordata; Testudines; Geoemydidae.
CUAAGAAGUGUUGCAUGAACUAAAGGAAAUGGCAGACUGACCUAAGUUACUGACCUGCUUAAAACACUGAAGUGGUUCAGAAAUAGACAGAUGUCUUCAGCCUAGGAAAUAAAUGACCAAGGAGUCAUGCGUGAGGAGUCAACACAAGUAUAACAGAUGCAUUCUGGAACCUUGGGAGAGA